AUGUCCAGUUCUUUUCUUCUCUUUCAGAAGUUAGAAGUUACGGAAGAAGAAAAUUAGAGUAUUUGAGCUUGAAUCUGUCAAAAAUCCUCAUAGCGCUUCAUGUUUGUGGUUUGUUAUCGUUAUUAUUAAGCAUUUAAGAUUUGAUUUACUUGAUUUUAUAAACUUUAAUAGGUUAAGACUCGACUUUCAUAAAUAUAGCAGCAGUUGCUAACGAGGAGGCUAGGCGUCAUGUACAUUCUGAUGAAAGGCGAGAAAGGUACCUGGUUUAUCCAUCCAACACGAAUAUGGGUUGAGGCGGUGUCGAGUUCAUAAGGAAGUUGGUUAUCUAUAA
This is a long non-coding RNA of Helianthus annuus (common sunflower), 331 nucleotides long. RefSeq lists it as uncharacterized. The transcript is spliced from 3 exons. Lineage: Eukaryota; Viridiplantae; Streptophyta; Magnoliopsida; Asterales; Asteraceae. The record is from RefSeq and is a predicted model, not a curated record.